RNAcentral lists this non-coding RNA (45 nucleotides) under Schistosoma mansoni. The record is from RNAcentral. Lineage: Eukaryota; Metazoa; Platyhelminthes; Trematoda; Strigeidida; Schistosomatidae.
AUCUAGCUGAUGAGUCCCAAAUAAGAUGAAACGCGCGUCCUGGAU